AUGCAUGCCUCGCCGGCCUGUCGUUGGCUCGUCGUCGCCCACUCCCUCCUCACCUCAGCCCCUAGCGAAAAUAGCCAAGCGCUCUGGCUGACUGACCGGCCGACGUGGCCGGCCCAAUCCUGGCCCACCACCUGGCGCCCCUCCCCGGCGGAAUCUCCCGUGUUCACACUCCCGAAUUACCCAAACACCCUCCUCCACCGGCGACCACACGAGGGCAGAACCGUCCCUCGCAACUUCCAAGCACGCCCGUGCGACCCGUCCGCCCUCGUGGCCGCACGAUCCCCAGAUCCAGCGGCCGCGGUCGCUCUACCAGAAGCUUCCGGCCCGGUGUAUAUAAGCGCGAGAGGGCCAGUGGCCUCCAUCGUCUUCACCCCCGCUCCUCCUCCCCCACCCCACACACACCGCACGCGUUUGACAUUUUCCGCCCACCACCACCGGAGGGAGCGAGCUCCAGCCAUGGCCGCCAAGUGCUACCCGACGGUCAGCGACGAGUACCUGGCGGCGGUCGCCAAGGCCAAGCGCAAGCUCCGCGGCUUCAUCGCCGAGAAGAACUGCGCGCCCCUCAUGCUCCGCCUCGCGUGGCACUCGGCCGGGACCUUCGACGUGGCCACCAAGACCGGCGGCCCCUUCGGCACCAUGAAGUGCCCCGCGGAGCUCGCGCACGGCGCCAACGCCGGCCUCGACAUCGCCGUCAGGCUGCUCGAGCCCAUCAAGGAGCAGUUCCCCAUCCUCUCCUACGCCGACUUCUACCAGCUCGCUGGAGUCGUCGCCGUCGAGGUGACCGGCGGGCCUGAGGUCCCCUUCCACCCGGGGAGACAGGACAAGCCCGAGCCUCCUCCAGAAGGCCGUCUUCCUGAUGCUACCCAAGGCUCUGACCACCUCAGGCAGGUGUUUUCCACUCAGAUGGGUUUGAGUGACCAGGACAUUGUUGCUCUUUCUGGUGGUCACACCCUGGGAAGAUGCCACAAGGAGAGGUCCGGCUUUGAGGGAGCCUGGACUGCCAACCCUUUGAUCUUCGACAACUCUUACUUCACUGAGCUCCUUUGUGGGGAGAAGGAAGGCCUUCUUCAGUUGCCGACCGACAAGACCCUCCUGACUGACCCGGCCUUCCGCCCACUUGUGGACAAAUAUGCUGCGGAUGAGGAUGCUUUCUUUGCUGACUACGCUGAGGCACACCUCAAGCUAUCCGAAUUGGGAUUUGGCGAGGCUGUUGAGGGCUGCUGCUGA
Molecule: ribosomal RNA, 1227 nt
Filed under: Triticum aestivum (bread wheat)
Lineage: Eukaryota; Viridiplantae; Streptophyta; Magnoliopsida; Poales; Poaceae
Description: partial small subunit ribosomal RNA
Source: RNAcentral